GUAAAUGAUAUAGCCGGUCCCAAGCCCGGAAAAAGGAGGAGGGUAUA
This 47-nucleotide unclassified non-coding RNA is filed under the name synthetic construct. The record is from RNAcentral.